UUAAGCGACUAAGCGUACACGGUGGAUGCCCUGGCAGUCAGAGGCGAUGAAGGACGUGCUAAUCUGCGAUAAGCGUCGGUGAGGUGAUAUGAACCGUUAUAACCGGCGAUUUCCGAAUGGGGAAACCCAGUGUGUUUCGACACACUAUCAUUAACUGAAUCCAUAGGUUAAUGAGGCGAACCGGGGGAACUGAAACAUCUAAGUACCCCGAGGAAAAGAAAUCAACCGAGAUUCCCCCAGUAGCGGCGAGCGAACGGGGAGGAGCCCAGAGCCUGAAUCAGUGUGUGUGUUAGUGGAAGCGUCUGGAAAGGCGCGCGAUACAGGGUGACAGCCCCGUACACAAAAAUGCACAUACUGUGAGCUCGAUGAGUAGGGCGGGACACGUGGUAUCCUGUCUGAAUAUGGGGGGACCAUCCUCCAAGGCUAAAUACUCCUGACUGACCGAUAGUGAACCAGUACCGUGAGGGAAAGGCGAAAAGAACCCCGGCGAGGGGAGUGAAAAAGAACCUGAAACCGUGUACGUACAAGCAGUGGGAGCCUCUUAAUGGGGUGACUGCGUACCUUUUGUAUAAUGGGUCAGCGACUUAUAUUCUGUAGCAAGGUUAACCGAAUAGGGGAGCCGAAGGGAAACCGAGUCUUAACUGGGCGUUAAGUUGCAGGGUAUAGACCCGAAACCCGGUGAUCUAGCCAUGGGCAGGUUGAAGGUUGGGUAACACUAACUGGAGGACCGAACCGACUAAUGUUGAAAAAUUAGCGGAUGACUUGUGGCUGGGGGUGAAAGGCCAAUCAAACCGGGAGAUAGCUGGUUCUCCCCGAAAGCUAUUUAGGUAGCGCCUCGUGAAUUCAUCUCCGGGGGUAGAGCACUGUUUCGGCAAGGGGGUCAUCCCGACUUACCAACCCGAUGCAAACUGCGAAUACCGGAGAAUGUUAUCACGGGAGACACACGGCGGGUGCUAACGUCCGUCGUGAAGAGGGAAACAACCCAGACCGCCAGCUAAGGUCCCAAAGUCAUGGUUAAGUGGGAAACGAUGUGGGAAGGCCCAGACAGCCAGGAUGUUGGCUUAGAAGCAGCCAUCAUUUAAAGAAAGCGUAAUAGCUCACUGGUCGAGUCGGCCUGCGCGGAAGAUGUAACGGGGCUAAACCAUGCACCGAAGCUGCGGCAGCGACACUAUGUGUUGUUGGGUAGGGGAGCGUUCUGUAAGCCUGUGAAGGUAGCCUGUGAGGGUUGCUGGAGGUAUCAGAAGUGCGAAUGCUGACAUAAGUAACGAUAAAGCGGGUGAAAAGCCCGCUCGCCGGAAGACCAAGGGUUCCUGUCCAACGUUAAUCGGGGCAGGGUGAGUCGAUCCCUAAGGCGAGGCCGAAAGGCGUAGUCGAUGGGAAACAGGUUAAUAUUCCUGUACUUGGUGUUACUGCGAAGGGGGGACGGAGAAGGCUAUGUUGGCCGGGCGACGGUUGUCCCGGUUUAAGCGUGUAGGCUGGUUUUCCAGGCAAAUCCGGAAAAUCAAGGCUGAGGCGUGAUGACGAGGCACUACGGUGCUGAAGUGACAAAUGCCCUGCUUCCAGGAAAAGCCUCUAAGCAUCAGGUAACAUCAAAUCGUACCCCAAACCGACACAGGUGGUCAGGUAGAGAAUACCAAGGCGCUUGAGAGAACUCGGGUGAAGGAACUAGGCAAAAUGGUGCCGUAACUUCGGGAGAAGGCACGCUGAUAUGUAGGUGAAGCGACUUGCUCGUGGAGCUGAAAUCAGUCGAAGAUACCAGCUGGCUGCAACUGUUUAUUAAAAACACAGCACUGUGCAAACACGAAAGUGGACGUAUACGGUGUGACGCCUGCCCGGUGCCGGAAGGUUAAUUGAUGGGGUUAGCGGUAACGCGAAGCUCUUGAUCGAAGCCCCGGUAAACGGCGGCCGUAACUAUAACGGUCCUAAGGUAGCGAAAUUCCUUGUCGGGUAAGUUCCGACCUGCACGAAUGGCGUAAUGAUGGCCAGGCUGUCUCCACCCGAGACUCAGUGAAAUUGAACUCGCUGUGAAGAUGCAGUGUACCCGCGGCAAGACGGAAAGACCCCGUGAACCUUUACUAUAGCUUGACACUGAACAUUGAGCCUUGAUGUGUAGGAUAGGUGGGAGGCUUUGAAGUGUGGACGCCAGUCUGCAUGGAGCCGACCUUGAAAUACCACCCUUUAAUGUUUGAUGUUCUAACGUUGGCCCGUAAUCCGGGUUGCGGACAGUGUCUGGUGGGUAGUUUGACUGGGGCGGUCUCCUCCUAAAGAGUAACGGAGGAGCACGAAGGUUGGCUAAUCCUGGUCGGACAUCAGGAGGUUAGUGCAAUGGCAUAAGCCAGCUUGACUGCGAGCGUGACGGCGCGAGCAGGUGCGAAAGCAGGUCAUAGUGAUCCGGUGGUUCUGAAUGGAAGGGCCAUCGCUCAACGGAUAAAAGGUACUCCGGGGAUAACAGGCUGAUACCGCCCAAGAGUUCAUAUCGACGGCGGUGUUUGGCACCUCGAUGUCGGCUCAUCACAUCCUGGGGCUGAAGUAGGUCCCAAGGGUAUGGCUGUUCGCCAUUUAAAGUGGUACGCGAGCUGGGUUUAGAACGUCGUGAGACAGUUCGGUCCCUAUCUGCCGUGGGCGCUGGAGAACUGAGGGGGGCUGCUCCUAGUACGAGAGGACCGGAGUGGACGCAUCACUGGUGUUCGGGUUGUCAUGCCAAUGGCACUGCCCGGUAGCUAAAUGCGGAAGAGAUAAGUGCUGAAAGCAUCUAAGCACGAAACUUGCCCCGAGAUGAGUUCUCCCUGACUCCUUGAGAGUCCUGAAGGAACGUUGAAGACGACGACGUUGAUAGGCCGGGUGUGUAAGCGCAGCGAUGCGUUGAGCUAACCGGUACUAAUGAACCGUGAGGCUUAACCUU
RNAcentral lists this ribosomal RNA (2902 nucleotides) under Escherichia coli HVH 70 (4-2963531). RNAcentral describes it as "bacterial LSU rRNA". It matches the Rfam family "Bacterial large subunit ribosomal RNA". Lineage: Bacteria; Pseudomonadati; Pseudomonadota; Gammaproteobacteria; Enterobacterales; Enterobacteriaceae. The record is from RNAcentral.